CGUAGGGUGCAAGCGUUAAUCGGAAUUACUGGGCGUAAAGCGUGCGCAGGCGGUGAUGUAAGACAGUUGUGAAAUCCCCGGGCUCAACCUGGGAACUGCAUCUGUGACUGCAUCGCUGGAGUACGGCAGAGGGGGAUGGAAUUCCGCGUGUAGCAGUGAAAUGCGUAGAUAUGCGGAGGAACACCGAUGGCGAAGGCAAUCCCCUGGGCCUGUACUGACGCUCAUGCACGAAAGCGUGGGGAGCAAACAGGAUUAGAUACCCUGGUAGUCCACGCCCUAAACGAUGUCAACUGGUUGUUGGGUCUUCACUGACUCAGUACGAAGCUAACGCGUGAAGUUGACCGCCUGGGGAGUACGGCCGCAAGGUUG
Molecule: ribosomal RNA, 369 nt
Filed under: uncultured organism
Description: bacterial SSU rRNA
Rfam family: Bacterial small subunit ribosomal RNA
Source: RNAcentral